Oryctolagus cuniculus (rabbit) is the source of this 2552-nucleotide long non-coding RNA. RefSeq lists it as uncharacterized. NCBI's taxonomy places the organism in Eukaryota, Metazoa, Chordata, Mammalia, Lagomorpha, Leporidae. The record is from RefSeq and is a predicted model, not a curated record.
AUUGCGCCCCGAUAACGAAAUGUCUCCCUUCCUAAAAUCCCCCACAGACUCCAGCGACGUCCUUCUGCCUUUAUUUUGAACGACAUAAUCUUUUUAUUCCUGGACCAGGGAUAUUUGCAUGCUCCUGCCUAUGUGGGCAGGAGAGACACUGACCUUUGACAAACCUUUGUUUUGUUUUGUUUUUUAAGAUCAGAUGGAACAGCUAUUGCAGUAUUCCAGCCCUGUAAGAUGGAGAGAGAGAGAGAGAGAGGGAGGGAGAGAGAGAGAUUCCAUCGUCUGUAAUCAGACACGGUGUGGCCCUUCUAACCCACUGACAACCUUCUGAAUCCUGCGAGCUGGUUGGAGGCGUGGCGUCCUCCUGCUUUCCUCUUGAGAGCACAGAGAAAAUUCGGGACUGGGAGAAAGCGUGCUUCCUGUCUGUUGCUCUUUGGCGAGAGCUUGGAUUCCAUGCGUUGAGUCAAAAGCACCAAGGGCCCCAGGGAGGCGGGAAGAGGCGAGAGGCGGAGGGAGGGAGGGAGCGAGGGCACAGGGUGUGGUCAGGUCGGCCUCCCAGGAGGCAGUCUGGGCAGGAGCCCCUGUGUGUCCCCCGAGACAGGCUCCCUUCCCGUUCCGACCUGCCCGCUGUCUGUCAGGGCCCGGGGAAUGAGCCCCACCAGGGCUGAGUGCCCCCAGGACGCGGGGCCGGCUGGCAAUCCAUCACUGGCAGAGCACACCUGGUCUGCCCAAAGGAGACAGCAGUUUCACUACAAUGUCCGUACAUGUGGCCCCCUGUGUGUGGGGAAAUUAGUUACACGAAGCAAUUCAAAGAUGGCGCCCAGAGGAAGCAAGCUCGGUCGCUCCCGAGAGCCUGCUGUGGAUCGGCCGUCUUGGCGAGUCCGAUGCCUCUUUGCACGCCCCGCGCGCCCUUUAGACGCCCAUGCGUUGCUGUUUACAGGACACACUGCACUGACCUUGUGCAGAUCUUUGUUGUUCUUAUCCACGGCCUCUCAUGAUCCUCGCCUCCUCCUGUCUGUGAUCUACCCGGUUUGCCUGCUUGUUAAAUACCUUGAACACAUCACGGCAGGGAGCAAGCCUUUGUCAACAACGGCAACUUCAAACCCGCAUCCGUCCUAAACUAAGCCAGAAUAUUUAUAUCUUUAUAUCCCUCCACUCCUAGUUGCCACGAGAGCCUCACCCAGAGCAAAGGGAGAUAAGAAAGCGCGAACAACCCCACAUUCGCCCCCUACAUCCUGCGCCCUGGGCAGGGCUUGUGGGGAUCAGGGCCGGGGAGAUUUGAAUGGUUAAAAAAAAAUCCCUUUAACGAUUGAGCAAUUUUCUUUUGGAUAAUGGUUCAUUCCGUUUUAUAGGAUGAUUUCCCCAAGCCUAUAUUUUGUGGAUAUUUUGCUAAUGUGCCAACCCACAGCUGCAAAGAUGGGCAUGGCUUUUUCCGCACCCCCUGAGCCGUGAGUUCAUGCUGGGCCCCCAGCGAGCCGGGCUGUCUCCUCUUAUUUCUGAGAGAGGCAGGUGCAGGCCGGACAGUUGGGGGAGUGCUAUCUGCUGUUCUAGUGUCCAUUUGCACGUCCACCCACUUGCCUUAUGCACCCGUCACUGCUGAACUGAGUUUAAUUUAGCCGCUUUCUCCCCACGGACCCUCAACGGAGAACCUGGUUUUGUGCACAGGCAAUGGGAGCCUGAACAGGAUCCAAGCUCCGACUCUACACCAAGUGGAGGAGAGAAGGCUGAGCAGGGGGGAUCUGGCUGCAGAAGGUUGAGUGGGUCGCUUCCCAGUUCCAUCCUGUGUGCAGAACCCACCGACAAAUCACCAUGUCUGUUGAUACGCAGAGUGGUGGGAGGCCGGGGUCAGUCGCCAACCCUCCCUCGCACUCCCUGCCGUAUCAGUGGCAGGCAUUACUAAUCGAUCCCAACCGUCUUUCCACCUGAGCCAGGGGCAGCCACCCCCAGUCCGUGGGAGUGGGCACAAGAAAGCAGGUGUGGGUGUUGGUUGGAGCCUGGUGGUUGGGAAGCCCUGGGGGGGAUAUGGGGGGAAGUCAGGGGUCGUGCUGACCCUGGGCCACAAGCACAGGCAAGGCUCUGUUACGUGAGGGGAUGGAGGGAAGGCUCCACGCCCUUUCUGGCUCUGACACAGGUGCCGCCAACAGUCCAUCUUACUGGGGAUGGUUUUUAAGUCACGAUGACAGAGGACCUAUGUGUGUUGGGUGCUUUGCUGGUGGUGGGGCUGUGAAAUCUGACACAGGCGUUGGGAAGGAGCUGGGCUGCUGUGCGACCACACUCCCGGCAGCCGCAGUGUGGGAGAUAAACAGCAGAGGUUUGGGGAUCAGGGGAAGAGGUCAACUUUGGGAAGGCCGGAGGGCUUCCUGGAGGAGCUGUUUCAUCAUCUGAGCCCGAGGCGGGAAAAGGAAUUGAACGAGCAGCGAAGCCCCUGCAGCCUCGACUGUUUCCUCCGCAGAGUGGGGGCGACAGCAGCCCUCAGCACCCCGGCACAAGACAGUGGCUGGGAGCGCGCCUACAAAUCCCUAGUUUGCCCGAGAAGCCUUCGUCGCGCACCUACUACG